This 253-nucleotide ribosomal RNA is filed under the name uncultured bacterium. RNAcentral describes it as "partial 16S ribosomal RNA". It matches the Rfam family "Bacterial small subunit ribosomal RNA", at positions 524 to 776 of the family's 1533-position model. The record is from RNAcentral.
UACGUAGGGUGUGAGCGUUAAUCGGAAUUACUGGGCGUAAAGCGUGCGCAGGCGGUUUUGUAAGCCAGAUGUGAAAUCCCCGGGCUUAACCUGGGAAUGGCAUUUGGGACUGCAAGGCUGGAGUGUGGCAGAGGAGACUGGAAUUCCCGGUGUAGCAGUGAAAUGCGUAGAUAUCGGGAGGAAUACCGAUGGCGAAGGCAGGUCUCUGGGCUGACACUGACGCUCAUGCACGAAAGCGUGGGGAGCAAACAGG